AGCUGACCUUUCGGGGGUAUGUGCACGCUUGUCAUCUUUACUUCUCCAACCUGUGCACAUAUUGUAGACCUGGGAGUUUUGAAUUUACUUUCGAGUUUGGGACUUGCUGGUAUAUCAUCAGCUUUUCCCUUUGCAGGUCUAUGUCAUUUUCACAAACCUCUGAUUUGAAUGAAUACCUAUAUAAAAGUUAUACAACUUUCAGCAACGGAUCUCUUGGCUCUCGCAUCGAUGAAGAACGCAGCGAAAUGCGAUAAGUAAUGUGAAUUGCAGAAUUCAGUGAAUCAUCGAAUCUUUGAACGCAUCUUGCGCUCCUUGUAUUCCGAGGAGCAUGCCUGUUUGAGUGUCAUUUAAGUUCUCAAACCCACAUUUUCUUCGAUGUGGUUUGGAUGUGGGGGAAAUGUUGCAGGCCUAGUCUGCUCCCCUGAAUGCAUUAGUGGUAUCUGAGCCUUACUACAGGUGUGAUAAAUCUAUCUAUGCCUUUGGUAUGCUGCAUGAACAGAUUGCACUGCUUCCAACAAAACAAAAAUAUUCUUUAUAAGACCUCA
RNAcentral lists this ribosomal RNA (545 nucleotides) under uncultured Inocybe. RNAcentral's name for it is "eukaryotic LSU rRNA". The stretch from base 194 to 346 matches the Rfam family "5.8S ribosomal RNA". Lineage: Eukaryota; Fungi; Basidiomycota; Agaricomycetes; Agaricales; Cortinariaceae. The record is from RNAcentral.